AAUUCAAUGAGAAACAAUAUUCAGGUCAGGUCAAAGCCUAGAGAAAAAUGCGCAUUCAGAAGUGGGCUGCCAUCCUGCUUUUUCUGAAGUGAACAGCUGCUGGGUAUUGAAACCAGCCCUCACGGUUGGGUCCCUGCCACCAUGGCAACACUCUGGUUUCUGAGCUGGAGUGGCCAAGGCACAAUGGGGUGGUUCCAUGGCCCAGAAGCACUCUAGCUACAGAUUAGAAUGAUGACAAGAGUAAUACCUUCCUAGUGAAGAUGACUUUUAUUUCAGGACUAUAUUAAGUUUCCCAACUUCUGUCAUGAUAUAGUCCAAAGAGAACCUGGACCACGCAGACAUCAAACAGAACAUGACACUGACCCAUUCUAUCAGUGACGUUGUGCUGAUUGCACAGGACAGAUGAGAGGCUCGUAUACUAGAAGUCUUGUUAUCCACAGAAGGAAUGAUCUGCAAUGUACACACGCCAGGACAGAAAUUCUACAGUUGCUGAUAAAAUGUAAACCUUCACAGGUAUACCUGAUGCUGCCAAUUACUGAGCUUUUUGAAGAUUCUGUGGUUUGAAGCCAGCUUAGGACUCAGCUUUUUUGGCUUGUCCAUCUGCUUUCCAGCUUCCAAAAUUUUGUUGCUCCUUAUCAUCUUUCCUAUACUGGCUGGAGUGCAGUUGCGCAAUCUUGGUUCACUGCAACCUCCAUAAAAAUGGCCAGUUUUAAACAUAGUCUCCAACUUUGUGAGCCCCAGAGGAUUCAGUCACAAGGAUUUAGCUUCUAUGGUGAGCAGAUGAGCUCAGAAAGCUGCUGCUGUUGAUUGUCUGGCCAUGGAAAGAGUUCUCAGUCAAAUGAAAGUCUCUGCCUUGGGAUUUAUUAAACACUUUUAUUCUUUGACUUUUCACACAAAUUUUGCAGCAUCAGGUAUCCCCUCCCCUUCUGCUGUCUGCCAUAGUGGAAACAGCCUGAGGCCCUUGCCAGAUAUAGAUGUUCAAACCUGGACUUUCCAGCCACCAGAAUCGUCAGCCAAAUAAACUUCUUUUCUUUCUAAAUCAUCCA
Molecule: long non-coding RNA, 1046 nt
Filed under: Homo sapiens (human)
Lineage: Eukaryota; Metazoa; Chordata; Mammalia; Primates; Hominidae
Description: HSALNT0302879
Source: RNAcentral